RNAcentral lists this ribosomal RNA (623 nucleotides) under Pseudomonas libanensis. RNAcentral's name for it is "bacterial SSU rRNA". It matches the Rfam family "Bacterial small subunit ribosomal RNA", at positions 223 to 838 of the family's 1533-position model. Lineage: Bacteria; Pseudomonadati; Pseudomonadota; Gammaproteobacteria; Pseudomonadales; Pseudomonadaceae. The record is from RNAcentral.
AGAUGAGCCUAGGUCGGAUUAGCUAGUUGGUGAGGUAAUGGCUCACCAAGGCGACGAUCCGUAACUGGUCUGAGAGGAUGAUCAGUCACACUGGAACUGAGACACGGUCCAGACUCCUACGGGAGGCAGCAGUGGGGAAUAUUGGACAAUGGGCGAAAGCCUGAUCCAGCCAUGCCGCGUGUGUGAAGAAGGUCUUCGGAUUGUAAAGCACUUUAAGUUGGGAGGAAGGGUUGUAGAUUAAUACUCUGCAAUUUUGACGUUACCGACAGAAUAAGCACCGGCUAACUCUGUGCCAGCAGCCGCGGUAAUACAGAGGGUGCAAGCGUUAAUCGGAAUUACUGGGCGUAAAGCGCGCGUAGGUGGUUUGUUAAGUUGGAUGUGAAAUCCCCGGGCUCAACCUGGGAACUGCAUUCAAAACUGACUGACUAGAGUAUGGUAGAGGGUGGUGGAAUUUCCUGUGUAGCGGUGAAAUGCGUAGAUAUAGGAAGGAACACCAGUGGCGAAGGCGACCACCUGGAUUAAUACUGACACUGAGGUGCGAAAGCGUGGGGAGCAAACAGGAUUAGAUACCCUGGUAGUCCACGCCGUAAACGAUGUCAACUAGCCGUUGGAAGCCUUGAGCU